UUAAAUUGAAGAGUUUGAUCAUGGCUCAGAUUGAACGCUGGCGGCAGGCCUAACACAUGCAAGUCGAACGGUAGCACAGAGAGCUUGCUCUCGGGUGACGAGUGGCGGACGGGUGAGUAAUGUCUGGGAAACUGCCUGAUGGAGGGGGAUAACUACUGGAAACGGUGGCUAAUACCGCAUAACGUCGCAAGACCAAAGAGGGGGACCUUCGGGCCUCUUGCCAUCAGAUGUGCCCAGAUGGGAUUAGCUUGUUGGUGAGGUAACGGCUCA
RNAcentral lists this ribosomal RNA (270 nucleotides) under Salmonella enterica subsp. enterica. RNAcentral's name for it is "partial 16S ribosomal RNA". It matches the Rfam family "Bacterial small subunit ribosomal RNA", at positions 1 to 267 of the family's 1533-position model. Lineage: Bacteria; Pseudomonadati; Pseudomonadota; Gammaproteobacteria; Enterobacterales; Enterobacteriaceae. The record is from RNAcentral. RNAcentral also lists the same sequence under 1 other name.